This 433-nucleotide ribosomal RNA is filed under the name uncultured bacterium. RNAcentral describes it as "partial 16S ribosomal RNA". It matches the Rfam family "Bacterial small subunit ribosomal RNA", at positions 29 to 507 of the family's 1533-position model. The record is from RNAcentral.
AACGAACGCUGGCGGCAGGCCUAACACAUGCAAGUCGAGCGCGCCCUUCGGGGUGAGCGGCGGACGGGUGAGUAACGCGUGGGAACGUGCCCUUUUCUACGGAAUAGCCUCGGGAAACUGAGAGUAAUACCGUAUACGCCCUUUGGGGGAAAGAUUUAUCGGAAAAGGAUCGGCCCGCGUUGGAUUAGGUAGUUGGUGGGGUAAUGGCCUACCAAGCCGACGAUCCAUAGCUGGUUUGAGAGGAUGAUCAGCCACACUGGGACUGAGACACGGCCCAGACUCCUACGGGAGGCAGCAGUGGGGAAUCUUAGACAAUGGGGGCAACCUUGAUCUAGCCAUGCCGCGUGAGUGAUGAAGGCCUUAGGGUUGUAAAGCUCUUUCAGCUGGGAAGAUAAUGACGGUACCAGCAGAAGAAGCCCCGGCUAACUCCGUG